GACGAACGCUGGCGGCGUGCUUAACACAUGCAAGUCGAACGGAAAGGCCCUGCUUGCAGGGUGCUCGAGUGGCGAACGGGUGAGUAACACGUGGGUGAUCUGCCCCUUACUUUGGGAUAAGCCUGGGAAACUGGGUCUAAUACUGGAUAGGACCAUGCUGUGGGUGGUGUGGUGGAAAGAUUAGUUUCGGUAAGGGAUGAGCUCGCGGCCUAUCAGCUUGUUGGUGGGGUAAUGGCCUACCAAGGCGUCGACGGGUAGCCGGCCUGAGAGGGUGGACGGCCACAUUGGGACUGAGAUACGGCCCAGACUCCUGCGGGAGGCAGCAGUGGGGAAUAGUGCACAAUGGGCGCAAGCCUGAUGCAGCGACGCCGCGUGGGGGAUGACGGCCUUCGGGUUGUAAACUCCUUUCAGCCAUGACGAAGCCUUCGGGUGACGGUAGUGGUAGAAGAAGCACCGGCUAACUACGUGC
RNAcentral lists this ribosomal RNA (469 nucleotides) under uncultured bacterium. Its description in RNAcentral is "partial 16S ribosomal RNA". It matches the Rfam family "Bacterial small subunit ribosomal RNA", at positions 28 to 508 of the family's 1533-position model. The record is from RNAcentral.